UGCCAGCCGCCGCGGUAAUACGUAGGGAGCAAGCGUUGUCCGGAAUUACUGGGCGUAAAGGGUGCGUAGGCGGCAUAUUAAGUCAGGUGUGAAAUCUUUGGGCUCAACCCAGAACGUGCAUCUGAAACUGAUAAGCUUGAGUGUGAGAGAGGAAAGUGGAAUUCCUAGUGUAGAGGUGAAAUUCGUAGAUAUUGGGAAGAACACCAGUGGCGAAGGCGGCUAACUGGCUCGGUACUGACGCUGAGAUGCGAAAGCGUGGGGAGCAAACAGGAUUAGAUA
This 279-nucleotide ribosomal RNA is filed under the name uncultured bacterium. RNAcentral describes it as "partial 16S ribosomal RNA". It matches the Rfam family "Bacterial small subunit ribosomal RNA", at positions 506 to 784 of the family's 1533-position model. The record is from RNAcentral.